Molecule: transfer RNA, 77 nt
Filed under: Coriobacteriales bacterium
Lineage: Bacteria; Bacillati; Actinomycetota; Coriobacteriia; Coriobacteriales
Description: tRNA-Ile
Rfam family: tRNA
About the family: Transfer RNA (tRNA) molecules are approximately 80 nucleotides in length. Their secondary structure includes four short double-helical elements and three loops (D, anti-codon, and T loops).
Source: RNAcentral
GGGCCCAUAGCUCAGCUGGCUAGAGCGCACGGCUGAUAACCGUGAGGUCAAAGGUUCAAGUCCUUUUGGGCCCACCA